CUUUAAGUUGAUCCAGUUGUGCUUCAUUUAUAAUUUAUGUAGAACCUCCUUAUUAUUGUGUUUUGCAGUUUCGAUCCUUAUCGGAUCAACUCUAUCAUUCUCCCAAUCACCAUAAGUUUGUAAGACAGCAGGUUGUUAACCAGCUCAAAUCCUAUCCUGAAACGUAUGGGGCUUAUGCUCCUAUGAAAUAUGGUGACUAUUUGAAGAAAAUGAGCAAGGACUGGUGAAUGGGGUGACCAUGUCACUUUGCAGGCAGCUGCAGAUUGGUAUGGCGUUAAGGUAUUCGUGAUCACUUCCUUUAAGGAUACUUGUUACAUUGAGACCCUUCCACAUGUUCAGAAGUCUGAACGACUUAUUUGCUUGAGCUUUUGGGCCGAAGUGCAUUACAAUUCAAUACAUCCAGAAGGAGGAUAUAUCAAGCAAGGAUUCGAGGAUUAAAAGUUUUAACUCCUCUUGGAUAUAUUGAGUUGUAAUGCACUUCUGCUCAAAAUAAUAAUUUAUAUCAAGAAAUUCAAGAUGGUGAUGAUAGUAAGGUUUCAGGCAGGAGGGUCUUCUUUUAGCAGUUUUGAAAACUGGAGGAAGAAGGUGGAUGGUGCUGAUAGCUCAUAACUCUUUGUGAUGCAGCCUGGACUCUCUGUGCAACAAGCAGAUAAUGAUCUAAUGGAAAUGAGGAAUGCUAGUACAAGCACUCUUUCCAGGAAUAUGUCAGUCGAAUGGUUUGGUAGAGGCUCAGAUGAUUCUGUUGGAUUAUCUGGUAAUGGUCUAGGUCCAAGGAGGAAGAGUUUCGCUGACAUUGUUCCGGGAGGAGUGGAUCGAAAUGCAUCCUUACCAGGCCACCCAUCACGCCCUUCAAGUUGUAACUCAUUUUGUGAUAUGGUAGAUACAACUGGUGUAUCUGAUUUCCAUUCAGCUGGGUUAUGUAAUGGAUUGCAGGCUGUAGAGACAUUGCACUCUGUAGCAGCUGCCCCUGCGUGGAUGGGAGUUCAGAGCCAUGGCACAACUGAUUCCCAUUUGUUGGCAUCUGCUGUAGGUUCAUCAUGAUCAAGGAGUACGACCCCCAAACCAGCUAGUUGGGAAAUCUCUUGGUCCUGGCCUUCCUCCUGUGGGAAGCAGAGUUGGAGCUACUGAAAA
Molecule: non-coding RNA, 1131 nt
Organism: Carica papaya (papaya)
Lineage: Eukaryota; Viridiplantae; Streptophyta; Magnoliopsida; Brassicales; Caricaceae
Source: RefSeq, a predicted model, not a curated record